RNAcentral lists this long non-coding RNA (1026 nucleotides) under Ficedula albicollis (Collared flycatcher). RNAcentral's name for it is "lncRNA (ENSFALG00000023229.1)". The record is from RNAcentral. Lineage: Eukaryota; Metazoa; Chordata; Aves; Passeriformes; Muscicapidae.
AUGGAGGCAGCGAGCACGGCCCAGCUCCCCUCACUGCUCUCAGCACUCCCAGCCCGGGUCAUGCUCUCACACAGCUCCCCAGCCAGGAGGAACCUCGGGGCCCAGGCGGGCAGCGAGGGGCACAGGGGGUCAGGCAGCUCCUGGGGACGAGCCUUGCACGGCAGCUCCCCUGCACAGCUCGGGGUUUCAGGCCACAGGGAUGGUCACUGGUGGGUCUGCCCUGCACAGCCGUGCCACUGCUCCUGCAGGAUGGAGAAGUGCCACCCCUGCAUGGCACCUGUUCCCACUGCGUCCCUCCAGACCCCUCUUAUCUCCAGCACCCAGCUCAGGGAUCUGACAGGAGCCAAGGCAUGCGUCCCAUGGGGAAGAAGGUGCUGUUAUUUAUUUCCUGUUGCAUCCCAAGCCAAGGCUGGACAUGUCCCAGGUGUUGAGUCCCCAGUAACUUUGGGAUGCCAGUGCCUGUCCCUCACAUUAAGUGAGAGUCAGGAUGCUCCUGUCCCCCAGCUCCCAGUCCUUUGGGUGUCCUGGGGCUGCUCGGGAUUUCAGCAAACCCAGCACCCAGGGCACGAGUCAGAACCACCCACAUACAGGGAGGGACCUCCUGAGUGUCAAAGUCAGCAGAAAUGGCUUUUCCUGCAGCUGCCAGGAAACAAAGAUCCACAUUUCCAAGGCAAUAUGCACAGGAAGGUCCCCUUCCUCCUCACCCUCAUCUCCCUACCCCAUGUCUCCCCCUUCCCAGGAUCCUCACACAUCUCCAAGUCCCCAGCAAAUCCAGCCUCUGAGGAGGAAAACUUUGCCCAGACCUACCUAGCAGGGAAAGGGUUCAAAGUCACAGAGAAAGGACCCAGCCCUGCAGCAGGACCCUGUCUGGGAUCAGCAGGUCCAUGCUGCACAUGCCAUGUGUUCCAUGGUGCCAGUGGGAUAUUUGCAGAGUCGGGAGAUGAACUGUGUCACUGCAGCACACCAAGGGACAUCCCAGCUGGGGUCCCUCCUCCCUGCCACACCACGUGGCCCCCAAACUCCUGA